GCUCGUAGUUGGAGGUCGGCCGGGCGGCGGCGCGUUCGGGUCAGAGCUACCUGUCUAUCCCCGUCGCUGGUCUCGGGGCCCAGGCGGGUGAAUCCCCUUGGCUGGGGUUGGCCCCCAGGUUACUUUGAAAAAAUUAGGGUGUUUCAGGCAGGCUGCUGAAUAGUCUAACAUGGAAUAACAGUGAACUCCGGUUCCCUUUGCUGGUCUACGGAACUCGUGAAGAGGGGCAGACGGGGGCGGAAGUACUACGGCGUGAGAGGUGAAAUUUCAGGACCGCCGUAAGACUAACGAACGCGAAAGCAUUCGCCCAGAAUGUUUUCAUUAGUCAAGAACGAAAGUUGGUGUAGCGAAGAGGAUCAGAUACCCUCCUAGUACUGACCGUAAACGAUGCCGACAGGAGGCCGGCGGUGGCACCGCCGGCGGGAAACCCGAGUGUCUGGGUUCGGGGGUAGUAUGGUUGCAAAGCUGAAACUUAAAGGUAUUGACGGAAGGGCACCACAAGGAGUGGAGCUUGCGGCUUAAUUUGACUCAACGCGGGGCAACUCACCAGGUCCGGACAUUGCGAGGAUUGACAGAUUGAUAGCUCUUUCUUGAUUCGGUGGUUGGUGGUGCAUGGCCGUUCUUAGUACGUGGUGCAAACUGUCAGGUUAAAUCCGCUAACGUACGCGACUCUAGCCUAUUUACUAGAGCUGGCGAUAUAAUAAGUCGCGACUUCUUAGGGGGAGCGUGGGAGAAGCGGAUGAAAUAGAGCAAUAACAGGUCUGUGAUGCCCUUAGAUGUUCGGGGCCGCACGCGCGCUACACUGAAAAGGAAAGAGGGCCGGGGCGAGCCGCAAUCUUAGAAACCUUGGCGUGCUAGGGAUUAGGGUUUGAAACUGUUGCCUAUGAACGAGGAAUUCCAAGUAAGUGCGAGUGACUAGCUUGCGUUGAUCAAGUCCCUGCCCUUUGUACACACCGCCCGUCGCUACCACUGAGCUAGCGGCUUAGCAAGCGCGUCGGACGCGUCCUGGGGGCG
Molecule: ribosomal RNA, 1014 nt
Filed under: Trypanospina martini
Lineage: Eukaryota; Metazoa; Annelida; Polychaeta; Phyllodocida; Syllidae
Description: bacterial SSU rRNA
Rfam family: Eukaryotic small subunit ribosomal RNA
Source: RNAcentral